This 195-nucleotide unclassified non-coding RNA is filed under the name uncultured fungus. RNAcentral describes it as "sequence contains ITS1, 5.8S rRNA gene". The record is from RNAcentral. Lineage: Eukaryota; Fungi. RNAcentral also lists the same sequence under 1 other name.
UUGUUAUAAUUGAGAUGCACAGGGCUGUUGCUGACCUAUCUGGGUCGUGCACGCCCAAAAAGUGCUCUCUCUCAUAUCCACUUCACCCCUUUGUGCAUUACCGCGUGAUCCUCCCUGUAUUGGGAUUGGUUCACGUUUUUAUACAGACACCUUCAUGUAUAGAAUGUCUUAUUUUGCGAUUAUGCGCAAUCAGUA